UAAUACGUAGGUGCGAGCGUUAAUCGGAAUUACUGGGCGUAAAGCGUGCGCAGGCGGUUAUACAAGACAGGCGUGAAAUCCCCGGGCUUAACCUGGGAAUGGCGCCUGUGACUGUAUAGCUAGAGUGUGUCAGAGGGGGGUAGAAUUCCACGUGUAGCAGUGAAGUGCGUAGAUAUGUGGAGGAAUACCAAUGGCGAAGGCAGCCCCCUGGGAUAACACUGACGCUCAUGCACGAAAGCGUGGGAGCAAACAGGAUUAGAUACCCUGGUAGUCCACGCCCUAAACGAUGCUGACUAGUUGUUCGGGAUUUACAUCCUGAGUAACGCAGCUAACGCGUGAAGUCAGUCGCCUGGGGAGUACGGUCGCAAGAUUAAAACUCAAAGGAAUUGACGGGGACCCGCACAAGCGGUGGAUGAUGUGGAUUAAUUCGAUGCAACGCGAAAAACCUUACCUACCCUUGACAUGUCACUAACGAAGUAGAGAUACAUUAGGUGCUC
Molecule: ribosomal RNA, 497 nt
Filed under: uncultured Polynucleobacter sp.
Lineage: Bacteria; Pseudomonadati; Pseudomonadota; Betaproteobacteria; Burkholderiales; Burkholderiaceae
Description: bacterial SSU rRNA
Rfam family: Bacterial small subunit ribosomal RNA
Source: RNAcentral